GCAUCGGUGGUUCAGUGGUAGAAUGCUUGCCUGCCACGCGGGCGGCCUGGGUUCGAUUUCCGGCCAAUGCA
Molecule: transfer RNA, 71 nt
Filed under: Cordylochernes scorpioides
Lineage: Eukaryota; Metazoa; Arthropoda; Arachnida; Pseudoscorpiones; Chernetidae
Description: tRNA-Gly
Rfam family: tRNA
About the family: Transfer RNA (tRNA) molecules are approximately 80 nucleotides in length. Their secondary structure includes four short double-helical elements and three loops (D, anti-codon, and T loops).
Source: RNAcentral